GAUGAACGCUAGCUACAGGCUUAACACAUGCAAGUCGAGGGGAAACGAUAGAGAAAGCUUGCUUUUUCUAGGCGUCGACCGGCGCACGGGUGAGUAACGCGUAUCCAACCUGCCCACCACUUGGGGAUAACCUUGCGAAAGUAAGAUUAAUGCCCUAUGUGGUGUUUUGAGGACAUCUGAAGAGCACCAAAGGUUUACCGCUUAACGAUGGGGAUGCGUCUGAUUAGGUUGUUGGCGGGGCAACGGCCCACCAAGCCUACGAUCAGUAGGGGUUCUGAGAGGAAGGUCCCCCACAUUGGAACUGAGACACGGUCCAAACUCCUACGGGAGGCAGCAGUGAGGAAUAUUGGUCAAUGGGCGAGAGCCUGAACCAGCCAAGUAGCGUGCAGGAAGACGGCCCUAUGGGUUGUAAACUGCUUUAUAGGGGAAUAAAGUGAGCCACGUGUGGUUUUUGCAUGUACCCUAUGAAUAAGGACCGGCGUAAUUCCGUG
RNAcentral lists this ribosomal RNA (491 nucleotides) under uncultured bacterium. RNAcentral's name for it is "bacterial SSU rRNA". It matches the Rfam family "Bacterial small subunit ribosomal RNA", at positions 28 to 507 of the family's 1533-position model. The record is from RNAcentral.